AACGCACCUUGCGCUCCUUGGUAUUCCUUGGAGCAUGCCUGUUUGAGUAUCAUGAGCAAAUCUCAAAGUCGAACCUUUUGUUAAUUCAAUUGGUUUUCGCUUUGGACUUGGAGGUCUUGCAGAUUUCACCGUCUGCUCCUCUUAAAUGCAGUAGCUGGAUCUCAGUAUUAUGCUUGGUUCCACUCGGCGUGAUAAGUAUCACUCGCUGAGGACACUGGUAAAAAGGUGGCCAGGAAAAAUACCGAUUGAACCGCUUCUAACGGUCUAUUAACUUAGACAAUUACCCCCCCUUAAGUUUGAUCUCAAAUCAGGUAGGACUACCCGCUGAACUUAA
Molecule: unclassified non-coding RNA, 334 nt
Filed under: uncultured Ceratobasidiaceae
Lineage: Eukaryota; Fungi; Basidiomycota; Agaricomycetes; Cantharellales; Ceratobasidiaceae
Description: sequence contains ITS2
Source: RNAcentral